GGCUCAUUCUUACUUUUUAAGAGUUCGAGCUUUUGGGAUUAAUGAUUAGCACCAAACUAUCCGACAAACAGUACUCAAUAUCCAUGAUCAAAAUACAUAACCACCGAAAAAACAUUCGAAAUCAAAACAGUGCAUCCAAUAGCCUAUUUAUUUAUUGGAAAAACUUCAAAAACCCCCUCUGUGGUUUCGUAGUUUCUCACUUUGCCCCCCUGUGGUUUAAAGUGUAUCAAUUUGCCCCCUGUGGUUUCGUUUUUAUCUUUUCGGUAGCUUUUUCGUUAAUAUUUCAUUAAAUUAUAUACAAAAAACUUCAGAUAUCCAUUUAGAUUUAUCAAAUAUUCACUUUAGUACCCUUUAAUUUUAACCUUAUUACUGAUUUAAGAAAAAAAAUAAUAAUAAAAUUGAUAAGAAAAAGAGAAAAAUAAAACCACAGGGGGGCAAAUUGAU
Molecule: long non-coding RNA, 444 nt
Filed under: Ananas comosus (pineapple)
Lineage: Eukaryota; Viridiplantae; Streptophyta; Magnoliopsida; Poales; Bromeliaceae
Description: long non-coding RNA (ACOM_LNC005973)
Source: RNAcentral